RNAcentral lists this ribosomal RNA (915 nucleotides) under uncultured marine archaeon. RNAcentral's name for it is "bacterial SSU rRNA". It matches the Rfam family "Archaeal small subunit ribosomal RNA", at positions 1 to 922 of the family's 1478-position model. The record is from RNAcentral.
UUCCGGUUGAUCCUGCCGGACCUGACUGCUAUCGGAUUGAUACUAAGCCAUGCGAGUCUUUGUAGUAAUACAAGGCAGACGGCUCAGUAACACGUAGUCAACCUACCCUAUGGACAAGAAUAAUCUCGGGAAACUGGGCAUAAUUCUUGAUAGAUCAUAAUGCCUGGAAUGGUUUAUGGUUAAAAUGAUUCGUCGCCAUAGGAUGGGACUGCGGCCUAUCAGCUUGUUGGUGAGGUAAUGGCCCACCAAGGCGAUUACAGGUACGGGCUCUGAGAGGAGAAGCCCGGAGAUGGGUACUGAGACACGGACCCAGGCCCUAUGGGGCGCAGCAGGCGAGAAAACUUUGCAAUGUGCGAAAGCACGACAAGGUUAAUCCGAGUGAUUUCUGCUAAAGAAAUCUUUUGCCAGUCAUAAAACCACUGGUGAAUAAGGGGUGGGCAAGUUCUGGUGUCAGCCGCCGCGGUAAAACCAGCACCUCAAGUGGUCAGGAUGAUUAUUGGGCCUAAAGCAUCCGUAGCCGGCUUUGUUAGUUUUCGGUUAAAUCCAUGUGCUCAACGCAUGGGCUGCCGAAAAUACUGCAUGGCUAGGGAGUGGGAGAGGUAGACGGUACUCAGUAGGAAGGGGUAAAAUCCUUUGAUCUAUUGAUGACCACCUGUGGCGAAGGCGGUCUACCAGAACACGUUCGACGGUGAGGGAUGAAAGCUGGGGGAGCAAACCGGAUUAGAUACCCGGGUAGUCCCAGCUGUAAACGAUGCAGACUCGAUGAUGCAUUGGCAUAAUAGCCAGUGCAGUGUCGCAGGGAAGCCGUUAAGUCUGCCGCCUGGGAAGUACGUACGCAAGUAUGAAACUUAAAGGAAUUGGCGGGGGAGCACCACAAGGGGUGAAGCCUGCGGUUCAAUUGGAGUCAACGCCGGG